Schizosaccharomyces pombe (fission yeast) is the source of this 1543-nucleotide non-coding RNA. The record is from the annotation of a GenBank genome assembly. Lineage: Eukaryota; Fungi; Ascomycota; Schizosaccharomycetes; Schizosaccharomycetales; Schizosaccharomycetaceae.
UUCGAAUCAGUAGAAGGUAAAUAAGAGACGAAAUCCUCAGGAGUGCCAACAACACCAUUUAACCAAAACUCAAUCAAAAACCUAAGGAGCGGUCUAACUUUGAGUAAAUGAGAGGAACGGUCCUUUUCGGAAACUUCGUUUUCAUUUUGCUUUAGUUCAAAGUAUGAUUCGUGACACAAUGAGUAUCCUGGGUUUGGGUAUAAAGCACAGUAUAAGUUGGCCAGCAUGGGUCCAGUAAAAGCCGUGGAAAAACGCAGAUUAAGAGCCCAAACAAUUUUGACUGACGACAGUAUGUCUUUAGUAGCUUUACAUUUCAUCAUUCCUUCUACGAUGGCGGCGGUAAUUUCAGGAAUGAACUUUUUCAAAGACAGGGUUUUUAUUUCCUUUAUAAAGGAAUCGUAAUUUUCAGAAGUUAAUGAGGACUUACAUCUUUUCAUAAAUGCUGUAUUUUUCUUUAGAGAAGAAUCCAGCUGGCUCUCAGUAUGAAAUAUAUUUUUGUCACCAUCUUUGGCUCGGAAGGCAAGCUCUCUAUUAUCCAAAUAUUGAUUAAGUUUUUUUAUUUGUUCUUCUCUUGACAUAAUUUAACGAAAUUGCAUUGAAAAGCACUUCAAUUCUCAUAUCUUGUUUAGAACACUAGUCGACGAUAGUUGGCGUAAAGUGAGUAGAUAAAUUUGACACAUGUCCUCUUCCACAACGAAAUAAUAUUGUAAAGUAACUAUGGCAAGUAUCUUAAAUUAUACUGGUUUUUUUUUUUAAAAAAGAAUAAACAGUAUUGGAUUAUAUUUUAGUUGCAUAAAUGCUAUAUUGUUGCUGCAGUUUCAUAUAUUAGAGGAAUAAAUCAAUUGGGGAUGAUUAGAAGCAAUAGGAGGUUUGUGCAUUGGUACAAUUUAAACAUAAUUUGUUAGGCAUGAAGAAUAAAACAGUUAAUACAGGUAGAUGUAUGCAUCAUCUUGAUAAGGACCUUUUAUGAUUGACGAAAAUAUAUCUACGGUUUCCACUUUUACGCUUACUGUUGAUGUGUAACAAUCUUAAAUAAAAAGGAAAAAAAGGUAACAGUAGCAAUUUAUUGAAGCUAUUAAGUGUGCUAACAGAAAUUCAAUACAAUUGUUGAUACUCAGAAAGGGUAAUUAAGCAAUACUCAGAAAACCAUGUAUUGCCUUCGAAUAAAUAAAACACUUUUAUAAAUAAAUAUCAUAUUCAACAAAAAAUUGCUCAGAUCGUUAAAACAUUAGUCUAGGAUACGAGAAAUGUUUCUCUCCUUGUAGGUAGCAGCCUUUCCAGUAUGAUCGUUCAAUAUUUCAUAACGAGUCUCCUCUCCGCUAUCGUUUUUAAUCACCUGCUGGAUAACUCCUGUUGAGGUGCUGGUACCGCUAGGGCCACCAAUCUUAAACCAUUUGUUAAUACUUAAUCACAGUCGAAAAACUUCAAGACACAAUUCGGUACACAAAAUACAGUGUACUUAACUGACAUGCCUGAAUCAAAAAUUCCUACUUACAGGAUGGUAUUCGACUUUGUUUCCUUUAGAAUAUUUGGUCAUUUUUUA